AUGGUCCCUCUGAUCAUUGCGACCUCCCUACAGUACUGGGCAAGUGCCAGUAACAAACUCGGGAGGCGAAAACCACUUGGGAGGAGGCAGAGGAGGCCAGGGGGCGCGGAGGCAGCCUUGGGGCUGCUGACUGGGGAUACGCUGGGGUCCCUGGCCGUGGCCGUGGCCAUCUUCCUGCUCCUGGUGGACCUGAUGCAGAGGCGCGGAUGCUGGGCUGCCCCUGCGGGGCAACCUGCUGCAGAUGGACUUCCAGAACACACUCUGCUACUUUGACCAGCUGCGGCGCGGCUUCGGGAACGUGUUCAGCCUGCAGCUGGUCUGGACGCCCGUGGUCGUGCUCAGUGGCCUGGACGCCGUGCGCGAGGCACUGGUGUACCACAGCGAGGACACAGCCCACCGGCCGCCUAUGCGGGUCUAUGAGCCCCCCGGUUUCCGGCCGCCCUCCCAAGGCAAGCCCUUCAGCCCCGGCGCCCGCGUGGAUAAAGCGGUGAGCAACGUGAUCUCCGCCCUCACCUACGGGCGCCGCUUCGAGUACGACGACCGGCCCCUUCCUCAAGCUGCUGGAACGACUGCAGGCGGGAGUGGAGGAGGACCAGGGCUUCCUGCGCGAGAUCCUGAACUCCAUCCCCAUGCUCUUGCGCAUCCCGGGACUGGCCAACAAGGUCUUCUCAGCACAGAAGACCCUCAUGAUCCUAAUAGAUGAGCUAAUACAGGAACACAGGAUGACCCGGGACCCAACCCAGCCACCCUGAGACCUGACUGAUGCCUUCCUGGAUGAGGUGGAAAAGGCCAAGGGGAGCCCCGAGAGCAGCUUCAAUGAUGAGAACCUGGGCAUGGUGACAUCUGACCUUUUCGCUGCUGGGAUGGUGUCCACCUCAGCCACGCUGACCUGGGCCCUCCUGCUCAUGAUCCUGCACCCGGACGUGCAGUGAUGUGUCCAACAGGAGAUAGAUGAGGUGAUAGGGCGGGUGCAGGGACCAGAGAUGGGGGACCAGACCCACAUGCCCUUCACCAUUGGCCGUGGUCCAUGAGGUGCAGCGUUUUGGGGACAUCAUCCCACUGGGCUUGCUUCAUAUGAUGUCCCGAGACCCUGAAGUGCAGGGCUUCCCCGUCCCCAAGGGGACAAGACUUAUCACCAACCUAUCGUCAGUGCUGAAGGACGAGAAGGUCUGGAAGAAGGCCUUCCGUUUCCACCCCGAGCACUUCCUGGAUGCCCAGGGCCGAUUCGUCAAGCAGGAGGCCUUCGUGCCCUUCUCCGCAGGCCGCCGCAUCUGCCUUGGGGAGCCCCUGGCCCGCAUGGAGCUCUUCCUCUUCUUCACCUGCUUCCUGCAGCGCUUCAGCUUCUCCGUGCCUACCGGACAGCCCCGGCCCAGCGACCACAGGGUCUUCUCCUUCCUGGUGACCCCAGCCCCCUCCCAGCUCCGUGCUGUGCCUCGCUAGAGGGAGGAAGCAUCCCCCUGCCCCACCAGCUCCUCAGCAGGGGCCUGAUGGGCCAGUCAACCAGUUGGGUGGCUCCAUCCUGCCUUCUGAGUCCCCUCAGGGCCUCCUGAGCAGCCCCUGGCCGUGAUGGGGCCUUAGCAGCCUCCCCAGGGCCAGCCCCUACCCCUGCCUGAGCCAUCCUUACUUUGCAUUUGAUCCCAUUUGAGAGAUGGGGAUAGUGAGGGUCAGAAGAUCACAGCUUACCCCUAGUCACCCACAGGGACCCAAUACUGGCGACUUGGGUUAGUGCCAAUGUCUGUACUUAGGUCCUGGCUCAUGGCAGGCAGAGCUAGAACAAGGGGCUGAGAGCUCUCAGCCGGACCCUGGUGGGGGGGGCAGGCCCCACUCAGCCUGGACACCCACAUCUCAGGUCCAACGCCACGCACCCCACCCCACCCCACGGGCCAGCAGCUUCGCCAGCACCACAAGCUCUUCUGUCCCACUGCAUCUACGACUCCCCCAAAGGUAGGGACUUCAGGGAUGGCCAUGAGGGGAUGUGCCAGGUUAACACCCAGGGCUCAGUCCACAGGUGCCAGAACUUUCCCUGGGAAGCCUUUGGCAGUCCAGGAGUGAGCCACCUCCCUAAGUCAGUCACCCCAAGCUAGGUGGACCCCUUCCCCAGCCCCUCAGGGAUGCCUGUGUUCAGGCGCCUGCCUAGAAGUUGCCACUCACGGCCAGGCUAGAGUAGGAGGAGGCCACUCAUCAGGGCUCCAACCUAGGGCACAGUCCUCUGAGUGGCUGGGUCAAGCUGGGCUCUAGGAGACUUGACCAGGGGAAGGCAGUGAGACCUGUGGGCCCCAGGUUACCCUCGGGACAGGGGCCAGCCUUGGACCCAUGUGACAGUGGAAUGGCCAGAGGAGGAGGCGGCCACGUGGAGACUUUGGAGGAGGACACCCUGGCUUUCACCCUUGCUCUGCCGGGAUACUGUGUGGCCCUGGGCCGGUUCCUCCCUGCCCUGGGCUUCUGUUUCCCCCUCAGCCAGUGAGAUGGUUGCACCAGAUGGCUGCUGGGGCCGGUGGUCCUGCUCUGACUUCUGGGGCCGUGACCCUGUUAGCCUGGAGCCCUGGCCGAGAGCAGGACCGCUGUCCUCCCCUGUGCCCACGCCCACAAUUGGCUGGUUCUGGACUGAGCAGCUGGGCAGCACCCGCUUAGCCAGGUCUUAGACAGACCCCCUGGUGCAUUUAAGGAACAGUAUGGGGACCAGAGACAGGUCAGAGGCCCCUCACUCCCCCAGGUCUCUUUUGCCAGAGGACACCCCUCCAGCCCAGACCCAAGAGCAUCCCUGACAGAGGUCCCACCAGCACCUUCUAAAUGCGCUCACAACAUGGAGCUUCCCAGCUCUCCGCAUUCGGGGAACUCGCUCUGCCCCUCAGCAUGGGGUCGGGGGGCCUCUCCAGAGUACCAGCUGCUGUGGCGGGGCUCAGGCGCAGCUUGUCAGGGCAGAGAGUGUGGACGGGGCCCCCCUGAGUUUCGACGAAGCCCCUGAAAGGAAGCAGCUGGGUCUGCAGAAGCAGCAAGUCUCUGGGUUUAUUGGCUCUUCGGUCAUUCGUGGUUCUGCGUCUUUGGCAUGUCAGCGGCUGGGACCCAGUGCAGCCAGAGCUUCCUCAGGAGCCGGGGGACCCAGCCCCCAGGCCUCUCGUCCUUGCUCCCCACCGCAGAGGCCUCUGCAAAGCACAGACAGGCAAGCCCUGUGGGUCCCUUGCAGGGAGGACCCUUCCCCAGGGCGGGGGGGAACAGGCCGGCGCUGACCAAACGCUCGCCUCAAGGGUCUGCCCACCAGGAAGGAAGCAGGAGGCGGCGGAGACAUUCGGGGAGGACGGGGCGCCUGGCUACCUGGGCUCCUUCCCCCCGCCCCCCGGCCCAGGGCCCGCGAGAGGCUGCGCCAUCCGUAAGCCCCCCAGGGGCGGGCUGUGCUGUCUUACCGGAAGGGUGUACCGCCACCUCCUUUUGGACCUUCGUGUUCUCCUGGGAAGAAAGACGGGGCACGGUGGUGACACACGACAGUCACAUUACCCAGCCGGGCAGGCGGCGGUGGCGGGCGGGGGAGGCAGGGUCCGGCCCACUCUCCGCCCCACAGGGCUCCUUGCGCCACCGGGACAGCAGUUUGGCCCAGUGUCCUUGCGGGUGCCCCAUGCCCCCCAACACUGCCCUCCUCCCCCCGCAGUGCUCUGGGGCUUCCCAGUAGCACUGGGAACCCUAGAGGUGCUGGGGAUGAUCCUCACCUCCCAGCCUGGGGUCCCUGCUGCCUCUUCCUCAGCCACCUCCUUCACAGCGGGGCCGGCGGCUUCCGCCCCUGGGGGCCUCACCUCCCCCUCCUGCUGAGACCGGAGCUCAGUCUCCUCCUUGGGGGCAGCACCGCUCAGUCCUCCCGUUGCCUUGGGGGCCAUGGCCUGCAGGGAGGGGCGGGAGGGCGGACGUGGGCAGAAAGGCCCGCAGAGCCCUCAUCCUCCUGGCCCGUCUCCACACCUGCACUGUGUAUCGUUCUUCGUUUUCCCAAGGAAGGCCUUCCCUUCUCAGCGAGUUGCAAGUUUCCCGGGGGAGGGAGGAGAAAGGGGGGGGCCCUGCCACCAUCCCUGGGACUCCCCUGCCACGAGCUGGGCUGUCUCUGCGUCACAUGGAGCUCUGACAGAAGCGAGCCUCACUUACCUUGGCUUGCUUCUUCCCGAUCUUGACUCUGCGUCUCUACAGAGGGAAACAGAAGUGACUUCCAGCUGGGAGGGGCCGUCCUCUCACUGUACCUGCCCAGGGUGCCCACUCCAGGGGAAGUGGGGUCCCCAGCCCUUACCUACCUGAGUGGUCACAGGGUAGCACUUAUCCAUUGGCCCCCACACCGGCCUCAAGGUCUCCCCUAUGAGCUGCACGACAAGGAGAGAGCGGAGGGAGGGAAGGCUGAGGUGACACACUAAUUCACUAAUUCACUGUCAGUGACAGUGACCUAAGACAGACACCUAAGAACUACCUGUCUUGAGAAAGUUAAAACCUGGCAUUUGUGAAACAAGAAUAAAACAGAAUAUGUUGAAAAAACCUCUUAAUUCUUGAAAACAAAAAUAUGAUAGAAUAAUGGGAAUGAGAAAUCCAAUCGAAGUGUAGGAGGUAAGUUAAAAAAAUUUUUUUCCCAGAAAGAACAGAGAGAAGAGAUCAGGAGCUCCCACAGAUAACUCAUAGAUCUUUCUGAGACAGGGAACAGACAACAGACUGAGGUGGCAGGGAGAGAUACCAGAUAGAUACGGCCCUGUUUUAUCAAGACAUGAUAAGGGACAUGAGUUUGCAGAAGAGAAGGAAUCACCAAGUGUCCAGGACAAUGGAUGAUAGAGAUUCACCCCAGAUUUUGUCAUCAGUAAAUCUCAAAACACUGAGGACAAGGAACCCAAAAACUUCCAGAAAUACAAAGAAAAAAUUCUGUUCGGGCGCCUGGGUGGCUCAGAUGGU
Molecule: non-coding RNA, 4908 nt
Organism: Leptonychotes weddellii (Weddell seal)
Lineage: Eukaryota; Metazoa; Chordata; Mammalia; Carnivora; Phocidae
Source: RefSeq, a predicted model, not a curated record